AACGAACGCUGUCGGCACGCCUAACACAUGCAAGUCGAACGAGACCUUCGGGUCUAGUGGCGCACGGGUGCGUAACGCGUGGGAACCUGCCCUUAGGUUCGGAAUAACUCCCCGAAAGGGGUGCUAAUACCGGAUAAUGUCUUCGGACCAAAGAUUUAUCGCCUUUGGAUGGGCCCGCGUUGGAUUAGCUAGUUGGUAGGGUAAAAGCCUACCAAGGCGACGAUCCAUAGCUGGUCUGAGAGGAUGAUCAGCCACACUGGGACUGAGACACGGCCCAGACUCCUACGGGAGGCAGCAGUGGUGAAUAUUGGACAAUGGGCGAAAGCCUGAUCCAGCAAUGCCGCGUGAGUGAUGAAGGCCUUAGGGUUGUAAAGCUCUUUUACCCGGGAUGAUAAUGACAGUACCGGGAGAAUAAGCUCCGGCUAACUCCGUG
RNAcentral lists this ribosomal RNA (433 nucleotides) under uncultured bacterium. Its description in RNAcentral is "partial 16S ribosomal RNA". It matches the Rfam family "Bacterial small subunit ribosomal RNA", at positions 29 to 507 of the family's 1533-position model. The record is from RNAcentral.